UGGGGAAUUUUGCGCAAUGGGCUAACGCCUGACGCAGCAACGCCGCGUGGAGGAUGAAGGUCUUUGGAUUGUAAACUCCUGUCAGCAGGGAACAAGCAACUUGACCUAAUACGUCAGGGAGUUGAUUGUACCUGCAGAGGAAGCCCCGGCUAACUCGGUGCCAGCAGCCGCGGUAAUACAGAGGGGGCAAGCGUUAUUCGGAAUUAUUGGGCGUAAAGGGCGCGUAGGCGGCUUUGCAAGUGACGGGUGAAAGCCCUCGGCUUAACCGAGGAACUGCCUGUCAGACUGUGAGGCUUGAGACCGGGAGAGGUGAGUGGAAUUCCCAGUGUAGCGGUGAAAUGCGUAGAUAUUGGGAGGAACACCAGUGGCGAAGGCGGCUCACUGGACCGGAACUGACGCUGAGGCGCGAAAGCGUGGGGAGCAAA
Molecule: ribosomal RNA, 425 nt
Filed under: uncultured bacterium
Lineage: Bacteria
Description: bacterial SSU rRNA
Rfam family: Bacterial small subunit ribosomal RNA
Source: RNAcentral